This 1770-nucleotide long non-coding RNA is filed under the name Homo sapiens (human). RNAcentral describes it as "HSALNT0197177". The record is from RNAcentral. Lineage: Eukaryota; Metazoa; Chordata; Mammalia; Primates; Hominidae.
UAGGACCUGUAUUAUUUAUUUUCAAACAAAAUGUUAUUAAAGUUUAAAAUAUUGUCACUGACUCAAACAACAUUUUCUCCCUUGGCACUUUGGACAGGAUGUUCAGACUGCCUUGAAGAAAUUGAAGUUUGCAGCUUGGGCUGCUGCUCUCAUUCAUUUUAAUACAGACACGACUAACAUCUCAUCCAAAAUGUGAAACAUAGCUUUUAAUUUAGUACCAUGGGUUCCUGCAGGACUGAGUCGACACACUGGGAAAUAUGUCAAUUAAGCUUGUUUCCCAGGAAGAAACAGGGAGGUCUUGCAAACAACCCAGGAUAGAAGGAGCCCAGGUUUUGAAGGGGGUGUUCCCUACAUGCCAGAGCUAAGCACAGGGUUGGAGGCUAGGGAAUGGAAAAGCUUCCCAAUUCAGGCAUUUCUGGAAGCAGUUGUGGCUAUUUCAGGGGGAGCUACAAACACAAGGCAAAGAGUCUUUUGAUCCCACACUUCUGUGUGAGCUUCGGAGAGACAAUCUUCCGGAUCUGGUGGUGACUUUUAAAAAAAGCGUCUCUGGAAUCCAUCCCCAGGCAGGCAGAAUUCGGUCUGAAGAUGCUCCCCAAGAGCACCUCAAAGAGCACCAGCAGGCCUUCCUCGGCAGGGACCUCCUUUAUCCAUGAGCGUUCUCUUCCCAGCCUCAUGUCCCACGGGUCCCUCCACUCUCUCCCUGAAGUCAGAUGGCGCUGGGGUUUCCCUGCGGGAACCACCCGCACAUUCGUGAGUGGAGAGAGUGCCAGCCGGGAGUCAGGCUCACUUGACUGAAGCUCCGCUUCCCUCGCUCCCCACCCACCCCUUCCGCGGCUCAGCCUGGAUCCCGCUGCUCGAUUCUCCAAGUGCCGCGUUCAUGCUGGAAGCCAGCGUUCCCCACAGUGUCUUCUGUGAAGACAAAUCCUGGGAGACGUUGGCGUUCCGGGAGAAGAAAUCGAUUCCUCAAAAAUAAGCAAAUUUUUAAUUUAAGGUGAUGUUUCAAGGAGACGUCGAUAUAUUAACGUGCUUUGCGAGUGUUUAAGAGGAAGGGGUGAAGGGCAGGGUUCUCCAAAGUUGUUGGCUACCUGGAGACCGUCUCGAGGAGUUGGACUAGAACUUGGUACUCACGAUGAUAAGCAGUGACAGGCCAGGCGCGGUGGCUCACGCCUGUAAUCCCAGCAUUUUGGGAGGCCGAGGCAGGUAGAUCACUUGAUGUCAGGAGUUGGAGACCAGCCUGGCCAACGUGGUGAAACUCUGUCUCUAUUAAAAAUACAAAAAUUAGCCGGGAGUGGUGGCGCACACCUGCAACCCCAGCUGCUCCGGAGGCUGAGGCAUGAGAGUAGUUUGAACCCGGGAGGCAGAGAUCGCAGUGAGUCCAAAUCGCGCCACUGCACUCUGGCCUGGGCGACAGUGAGACUCCAUCUCAAAUAAAUAAAUAAAUAAAAUAAGUAAAUAAAUAAAUAAAUAAAUAAACAAACAAACAAUGACAACAUUCCAUGCUCCAGGAACUGGUCUCGGUGCGGUACUGAAGAUUGAUUCAACGGUGAGAACGUCAAGCACGUACUAGUCUCCACGGGCUUACACUGUGGAGGAAAAAAUAUAAACAAACAAACAAAAAUAGCUAUAUUAUACAGCAGGAAGUGAGAAGUGACUAGAAGAAAAGUCAACCCAGAUAAGAAAAGGAAACAAUUAUAAUAGAACUUGAAUAUUUUAUAUCUUUUCUUUUUACACAUUUUGACAUUUAUUAUGAAAAUGUUGCAAGUUGAGAUA